UACAGGCCAAGACAGGCCAGACUCAGCCCUUUGGUAAAUUGUGAUCAUCCACAUGCAGCACUUCCCUGCAGUCAGUGCCAUGUCUCCAAAUUCAUCUCCUGGCAAUUAUAUCCAGAAACAAUAAGGUUUUCUACUGAAAACAAAAGCUUGUUGAGACAACAGCAUGAUCCUCGCUGGAAGAAACAUGGGCUUGGAAAAAGUGAGCCUUGAAGCGGGACAGAACAAAAGAAAUGGGAUCAAUGGUUGUGGCUGUGCACAGUACC
This 263-nucleotide long non-coding RNA is filed under the name Parus major (Great Tit). Its description in RNAcentral is "lncRNA (ENSPMJG00000000904.1)". The record is from RNAcentral. Lineage: Eukaryota; Metazoa; Chordata; Aves; Passeriformes; Paridae.